GUAGAUUUUGGUGUGUGUCGGUGACUCCGUUUGAGCCAGGGACGCCUGGCGAGGAGCCGCCGCCUAAUCCAAAACUCGCUCCCUCUUCUUAUGGUCUUAGGGACCAUGGCAUUGCGCGAACGCCCGCUCGGGC
This 133-nucleotide non-coding RNA is filed under the name Nitratiruptor sp. SB155-2. RNAcentral's name for it is "purD.2008-01-16 RNA". It matches the Rfam family "purD RNA motif". Lineage: Bacteria; Pseudomonadati; Campylobacterota; Epsilonproteobacteria; Nautiliales; Nitratiruptoraceae. The record is from RNAcentral.